Non-coding RNA from Bacteroidetes bacterium GWF2_42_66, 45 nucleotides. The record is from Rfam. NCBI's taxonomy places the organism in Bacteria, Pseudomonadati, Bacteroidota.
CCCGGGGCGUUGCCCCGGGCUAAAUUAUACUGUCCCUUCAGGACG